This 519-nucleotide ribosomal RNA is filed under the name uncultured Microgenomates group bacterium. RNAcentral's name for it is "bacterial SSU rRNA". It matches the Rfam family "Bacterial small subunit ribosomal RNA", at positions 355 to 895 of the family's 1533-position model. The record is from RNAcentral.
CUGGGAAUCGUGCGCAAUGGACGAAAGUCUGACGCUGCGACGCCGCGUGAAUGAUGAAGGCCUUUGGGUCGUAAAGUUCUUUUGCCAUUGGGGUGACCCAAUGGAGAAUAAGCACCGGCUAACUCUGUGCCAGCAGCAGCGGUAAUACAGAGGGUGCAAGCGUUGUCCGGAUUUACUGGGUGUAAAGCGUUUCGUAGGCGGCUUUUUAAGUUAUCUUUCAAAGUCCGAGGCUCAACCUCGGGAAGGGAGGUAAUACUGGAAGGCUGGAAGAAUAUCGGGGUUACUGGAACUUGCGGUGUAGGGGUGAAAUCCGUUGAUAUCGCAAGGAACACCAAGGGCGAAGGCAGGUAACUAGGUAUUUCUUGACGCUGAGGAACGACAGCUAGGGGAGCGAAAUGGAUUAGAGACCCAUGUAGUCCUAGCCGUAAACGAUGCUCGCUAGGGAUGGGGAGGUUAAACUUUCCGUUCCGUAAGUUAACAACGUUAAGCGAGCCGCCUGGGGAGUACGAUCGCAAGAUU